AGCGAACGCUGGCGGCAGGCUUAACACAUGCAAGUCGAGCGGGCACUUUCGGGUGUCAGCGGCGGACGGGUGAGUAACGCGUGGGAACGUGCCCUCUGGUUCGGAAUAACUCAGGGAAACUUGAGCUAAUACCGGAUACGCCCUUUUGGGGAAAGGCUUGCUGCCGGAGGAUCGGCCCGCGUCUGAUUAGCUAGUUGGUGAGGUAACGGCUCACCAAGGCGACGAUCAGUAGCUGGUCUGAGAGGAUGAUCAGCCACACUGGGACUGAGACACGGCCCAGACUCCUACGGGAGGCAGCAGUGGGGAAUAUUGGACAAUGGGCGCAAGCCUGAUCCAGCCAUGCCGCGUGAGUGAUGAAGGCCUUAGGGUUGUAAAGCUCUUUUAUCCGGGACGAUAAUGACGAUACCGGAGGAAUAAGCCCCGGCUAACUUCGUG
This 435-nucleotide ribosomal RNA is filed under the name uncultured bacterium. RNAcentral describes it as "partial 16S ribosomal RNA". It matches the Rfam family "Bacterial small subunit ribosomal RNA", at positions 29 to 507 of the family's 1533-position model. The record is from RNAcentral.